This 77-nucleotide transfer RNA is filed under the name Escherichia coli. RNAcentral describes it as "tRNA-Pro(ggg)". It matches the Rfam family "tRNA". From Rfam's summary of the family: Transfer RNA (tRNA) molecules are approximately 80 nucleotides in length. Their secondary structure includes four short double-helical elements and three loops (D, anti-codon, and T loops). Lineage: Bacteria; Pseudomonadati; Pseudomonadota; Gammaproteobacteria; Enterobacterales; Enterobacteriaceae. The record is from RNAcentral. RNAcentral also lists the same sequence under 1 other name.
CGGCACGUAGCGCAGCCAGGUAGCGCACCGUCAUGGGGUGUCGGGGGUCGGAGGUUCAAAUCCUCUCGUGCCGACCA